This 208-nucleotide long non-coding RNA is filed under the name Theobroma cacao (cacao). Its description in RNAcentral is "long non-coding RNA (TCAC_LNC005695)". The record is from RNAcentral. Lineage: Eukaryota; Viridiplantae; Streptophyta; Magnoliopsida; Malvales; Malvaceae.
GGGUCACAUCCUUCUGAUGCAACGAUCUCUUUUCUUUUUCGUUUUAAUCUUUGGAGAGAUAACGUAGCUGUCCUGAACCUUGCCUGUUUCAAUUGACUGAACUGUCCUCUACGUGGAAACCCUGCCCUUUCAUGGAAAUCACCAGACUAGCGCUGGUUUUUGGCCCUUGUGUGAUGUGGCUCGAGUGAGAAAGAUGAACCACAUUGCU